This 307-nucleotide small RNA is filed under the name Oryza sativa Japonica Group (Japanese rice). RNAcentral describes it as "misc RNA H3". The record is from RNAcentral. Lineage: Eukaryota; Viridiplantae; Streptophyta; Magnoliopsida; Poales; Poaceae.
AAGCAUGCGUCGUAGUGUUAGUAGUGGGUUUUAAUCUUUUGCUUAUAAGAACAAUCUGAGUAGGGUGUAUUUUGUGGAACAAUAUGUUUCUCAUGAUGGUGCUGUAUUCGUCUUAUUGGUGGAUCUGUCAAAAAUACUCAGCAUAUUGUCAGUGUGUCUGGUGACUCUUAUUUUGUUAGUCUGAUUCGUUUGCGUCUUAUUCUAGCGGUGCUGCCUCUUUGGCACUGUGCAUGGCUAGAUACAAUUACAUUGUAAUUCACCUGUCUCUAAUCCGUGUUAAUGUAAGUGUUCCGUUGCUGUCCGUGUG